UACAGAGGUGGCAAGCGUUGUUCGGAUUCAUUGGGCGUAAAGGGUGCGUAGGUGGCAUGGUAAGUCGGAUGUGAAAUCCCGGGGCUCAACCCCGGAACUGCAUUCGAUACUGCUGCGCUAGAGUACUGGAGAGGAGAUUGGAAUUUACGGUGUAGCAGUGAAAUGCGUAGAUAUCGUAAGGAAGACCAGUGGCGAAGGCGGAUCUCUGGACAGUUACUGACACUGAGGCACGAAGGCCAGGGGAGCAAACGGG
This 253-nucleotide ribosomal RNA is filed under the name uncultured bacterium. Its description in RNAcentral is "partial 16S ribosomal RNA". It matches the Rfam family "Bacterial small subunit ribosomal RNA", at positions 524 to 776 of the family's 1533-position model. The record is from RNAcentral.